UUUUUUUCAAUAAAAACAACUGUCCUUUCUCCAUUAUAAUGAUAUUACAGGUACAUGUAUUAUUUAUGUACAUUUUGAACUUAAAUUUAGCAUAAAAAUUGACUUUUUUGUGGAAUUUAAAGGAGUAGGCCCAGUAAGACCCCAUUUUGGCCCCAAAAUAUAGCAGUUUCACAAAAUUGUUAAAACGUAAACUUAUAGCUAUUUAUUGGAAAGUAGAAUACUUCUGUAACAUCUUUAUGGGCUGUUUUUGACAAUACAAUGUACAUGUAUCAGGUACUAGCAUCAUUAAGUCAUGGUAAAUUACUGAAAUCUUGGAAAUUUUAGCAUUUUGGUUAAUUUUUAGACAGUUUCCAUUUGAGAUGGAAAUUGUCGCAAUUAACUGUUUAAAAAGAUUCAUAAAUCUUUCAUCAGAUGAACUUGAACUUUGAGGCCAAAAUCUGCUCUUACCCAACCUACUCCUUUGUUGGCCAAUCAUUGACAUGCUUUAAAAACUUAUUAAAGGUGAUAGGUUGAGAAAGGAAAUUUAGAAUAUUUAAGAUUUUUAGUAUACAAUUAAUUAUCAUGGAUGUUGCUUAUUUAAUAAAAAAAUUGUUAAAUUUGAAAACACCAACAGUUCAUUUUGUAUGGUAGUUGUUAAAGCUUUAUUUAGGUAUCAUGAGAUUAGGUCAUUUUAACAUUACUGCACAUGUGAUUUGGCUUAAAAAAUUAUUUGAGAUACUAGUAUUUGAACUUUUGAGUUCAAGUUGAUUCAUUAAAAAUUUUUAAAUGGAACCAGAUGCUCCACAGGGGGCAGCUUUAUACGACCGCAGGUCAAACCCUGAACAGUUGGGGCAAGUAUGGACACAACAUUUAAGCUUGAUACAGCUCUGAAUUUGAAUUGUGAUUAAAUAGUUGACACAACAUAGGUUUCUGACACAGAAUGAAUGUGGUCUAACAACUUAAACUUAAAAACUUAAAAAUUUUAAAUUGGACAUUUACCUAUUAUGGUCCAAUAUCCAAAAUCUAAAUACAUGGUUAGAUUCAGCAUAUUAUAGAUUAGAACCCCAAGAAUUCAAUUUUUGAUUAAAUCAAAUAAUGUUUAAUUUCUGACCCUUUGGACCUUAAUGUAGACCAAUUUGAAAAAGGGACAAUACUGGGCAAUUGAAUAUUUCUUGCUAUUGCGCAAAACUGUGCAAUUGAAAAUUUCUUGCUAUUGUGCAAUAUUGUGCACUAAGAUAUUUCUUGCUAUUGCACAAUACUGUGCAAUUGAAGAUUUCUUGCUAUUGCACAAUACUGUGCAAUGGAAAAUUUCUUGCUAUUGUACAAUACUGUGCAAUUGAAGAUUUCUUGCUAUUGCUGAAUACUGUGCAAUUGAAAAUUUUGCUAUUGCACAAUACUUAAUAUAAUAAUUUGGACCCUGAUUUGGACCAACUUGAAAACUGGGCCCAUAAUCAAAAAUCUAAGUACAUGUUUAGAUUCAGCAUAUCAAAGAACCCCAAGAAUUCAAUUUUUGUUAAAAUCAAGCUAAGUUUAAUUUUGGACCCUUUGGACCUUAAUGUAGACCAAUUUGAAACAGGACCAAAAAUUAAGAAUCUGAAUACACAAUUAGAUUUGGCAUAUCAAAGAACCCCAAUAAUUAAUUUUUUGAAAGUUUAAUUUUGGACCCUUUUGGCCCCUAAUUCAUUCAGAUCAAAACUCCCAAAAUCAAUCCAAACCUUCCUUUUGUGGUCAUAAACCUUGUGUUAAAAUUUCAUAGAUUUCUAUUAACUGAUACUAAAGUUAUUGUGCUAAAACCAAGAAAAAUGCUUAUUUGGCACCUGUUUUUGGCCCCUUAUUCCUAAAUUAUUGGGACUUAAACUAAAGUUAUUAUGCAAAAAUGUUAAAAUUUCAUAGAUUUAUAUUUACUGAUACUAAAGUUAUUGUGCAAAAACCAAGAAAAAUGCUUAUUUGGGCCCUUUUUUUUUCAAUUUUUGCAGUCCUAUAAAAU
Molecule: long non-coding RNA, 1966 nt
Filed under: Mytilus galloprovincialis (Mediterranean mussel)
Lineage: Eukaryota; Metazoa; Mollusca; Bivalvia; Mytilida; Mytilidae
Source: RNAcentral